RNAcentral lists this ribosomal RNA (450 nucleotides) under uncultured bacterium. RNAcentral's name for it is "partial 16S ribosomal RNA". It matches the Rfam family "Bacterial small subunit ribosomal RNA", at positions 29 to 523 of the family's 1533-position model. The record is from RNAcentral.
AACGAACGCUGGCGGCGGGCUUAACACAUGCAAGUCGAGCGCCCCGCAAGGGGAGCGGCAGACGGGUGAGUAACGCGUGGGAAUCUACCCAUCCCUACGGAAUAGCUCCGGGAAACUGGAAUUAAUACCGUAUACGCCCUACGGGGGAAAGAUUUAUCGGGGAUGGAUGAGCCCGCGUUGGAUUAGCUAGUUGGUGGGGUAAAGGCCUACCAAGGCGACGAUCCAUAGCUGGUCUGAGAGGAUGAUCAGCCACAUUGGGACUGAGACACGGCCCAAACUCCUACGGGAGGCAGCAGUGGGGAAUAUUGGACAAUGGGGGCAACCCUGAUCCAGCCAUGCCGCGUGAGUGAUGAAGGCCUUAGGGUUGUAAAGCUCUGUUGCACGGGAAGAAAAAAAUGACGGUACCGUGCGAGAAAGGAUCGGCUAACUUCGUGCCAGCCGCCGCCGUAA